Molecule: ribosomal RNA, 305 nt
Filed under: uncultured bacterium
Lineage: Bacteria
Description: bacterial SSU rRNA
Rfam family: Bacterial small subunit ribosomal RNA
Source: RNAcentral
UGGAGCCUACGGGACGCAGCAGUGGGGGAUAUUGCACAAUGGGGGGAACCCUGAUGCAGCGACGCCGCGUGGGUGAAGGAGCGGUUCGGCGCGUAAAGCCCUAUCGGCAGGGAAGAAGGAGGACGGUACCUGACUAAGAAGCCCCGGCUAACUACGUGCCAGCAGCCGCGGUAAUACGUAGGGGGCAAGCGUUAUCCGGAUUUACUGGGUGUAAAGAGGGCGCAGACGGCAGCGCAAGCCAGGAGUGAAAGCCCGGGGCCCAACCCCGGGACUGCUCUUGGGACUGCGCGGCUGGAGGGCAGGAG